GGCGCCUGGCGGGAGGGCCGCAGGGAGUGCGCAUGCGGCCGAGUGCGGGACUGGGGCUCCUGGCUGUGGGUGUGGUACCGAGGCUUCAGCGGGUGCCGCCCGCCUAGAGGGAGUGGAGCGGUGAGCACGUCAGGGGUGGGGGGCGCAGGUCAAGCUUUCACCAGUUUUUAAUUCUUUGAUGGGGUAAAUUUGAGCAAUUUUCUCGACUUGUCGACAUUCGUUAUUAACUGAGCAGGAAUCAGGAGAGGAACCCGGUCCUCUCCACACAGCCCAGCAGAGAGCCUACGACUAGAUUUGCAUCUUUACGUCCUGCGCGGAGGCUGCUACACACAUGCAGAAGUCAUGCUGGUGGCCUGGACAGUGAAGGGAGAGAAGUGGAUUUGGGAGACAUUUAGGAGAUGGCACCAAAAGCGAAGGAAGCUCCUGCUCAUCCUAAAGCCGAAGCCAAAGCGAAGGCUUUAAAGGCCAAGAAGGCAGUGUUGAAAGGUGUCCGCAGCCACACGCAAAAAAGAAGAUCCGCAUGUCACUCACCUUCAGGCGGCCCAAGACACUGCGACUCCGGAGGCAGCCCAGAUAUCCUCGGAAGAGCACCCCCAGGAGAAACAAGCUUGGCCACUAUGCUAUCAUCAAGUUUCCGCUGGCCACUGAGUCGGCCGUGAAGAAGAUAGAAGAAAACAACACGCUUGUGUUCACUGUGGAUGUUAAAGCCAACAAGCACCAGAUCAGACAGGCUGUGAAGAAGCUCUAUGACAGUGAUGUGGCCAAGGUCACCACCCUGAUUUGUCCUGAUAAGGAGAACAAGGCAUAUGUUCGACUUGCUCCUGAUUAUGAUGCUUUCGAUGUUGUAACAAAAUUGGGAUCACCUAAACUGAGUCCAGCUGGCUAACUCUAAAUAUAUGUGUAUCUUUUCAGCAUAAAAAAAUAAUGUUUUUCAUAAGAAUGACAACUUAAUUAGAAUCAAAUCUAUAAGCUUUAAGAUUUUACGUUUCUAGUAAGUAUAAUAUUAGCUUAUUUGACUAGAACUCAAGCAGAAUAGGAAUUUAUGCUUGUUUUAUAUUCAAUAAUGAUAAUUUUGAAGAUAUAGUUGUUUUAUUACACCAAAAAUACUAUAUUAAUCUUAUUUAACUAAGUUUUAUCCAAAUCAUGUUAACUUAAGAAACAUUUGAUCAGUUCCUAUAUUUCUAGGAGUUUGGUGAAUAUUUAUUUAUAAAUGCUUAUUUUUUUCCAAGCCAAGUUAGAAUAGAGCACUUUUAGAGGAUUUCAUAAAUGAAUUUUGCAAUGCUC
Molecule: long non-coding RNA, 1284 nt
Organism: Homo sapiens (human)
Lineage: Eukaryota; Metazoa; Chordata; Mammalia; Primates; Hominidae
Gene: RPL23AP7
Product: ribosomal protein L23a pseudogene 7
Source: Ensembl